This is a long non-coding RNA of Chenopodium quinoa (quinoa), 4138 nucleotides long. RefSeq lists it as uncharacterized. The record is from RefSeq and is a predicted model, not a curated record. The transcript has 7 exons. NCBI's taxonomy places the organism in Eukaryota, Viridiplantae, Streptophyta, Magnoliopsida, Caryophyllales, Amaranthaceae.
UACUUUCAUUUAAGUUUUCUCGUGUGCUGCUCAAUUGCUUAUAGAUUUGUUUUUAUGCGAACAAACAUUGUUUCAAUUGUGCUUUUCAUCACUCACAUGGUUCACUGAAACAUAUAAUAGUCUCUAGAAUUGCUUAUGUAAUGGAUGCUUGUAGGUUGCAAUUUAGUGUUUGUGAUCAUAUAUAAUUUCACUUGGGUUUUGGUUAUUUGUAGUGCCAUUUGAUAAAAGGUGUGGUAGAGAUAUUUGGUAAGGAGAAAUUUGAAUGGUUUAGUCGUAAGUAUAGCCCUUGGCAAAGUUUGUCUAAAUGAAUGAUCGAUCACCUAGGCACCCAGUCAUUAAAAAUUGAAAACUAAAAUGAAUAUCCAAAAGUAUAUACUAUCUCCGUAAAAUGUUAUGUGCAAGUUUUGUCAUUAUAGGCCGUUUCACAUUAUGUGCAAGUUUUCCAUUUCUUUCCAUUUUAGUAAAAAAAAAGAAUAAAAUGACAUUUAUACCCUUACUUUAGAAAAUCAGUUUUUUGUAAUUAGCCAAUAAAACAGAGGGAGUAUAUAGUUUGCAAUAAGUUUGACUUUUUGGGUUAUAAGUACAUAGUUUGACUACUUCAAAGUUCAAAGUCAAGUACGCUAAGUCGCUAACGUACUCUAUUACAAUUUACAACAUUGUAUUCCAUUUUUUCUCUCUAUUGGUUUUCGUUGAUAUUGAUUAUUAAAUUGAAGUUUGGAGGACCAUUUUAAUUUGGGUUUUGCUUAGUUUAAAUACUCCGUAUGAUUUUUGCUUCUAUAUCAAGAACUUUCCUUUUUUAUUUUUUUGGGUUGUAUGUAGCUCAAGAUGCUGCUCAGAAUUUGAGUUUAAGUAAGCUAGCUAGUCCGAUUGAAGUGCUGCAAAGAAAUUUAGUUUGAGUAACAACCAGAUCCUGAUCAAAAUCCACUGGAAGUUUUGGCAAAGACAUAUUGCUGAGAAUGGUGUACAGUGGCAAUGAACACAGAGGUAGAUGGUGCGAUUGUCGAAGAGCCGCUGAUGAAGAUGAACAAAGGUUAAGGCAUAGUUGUCGAAUUGGUCAGGGCACUGUUGUCGAUCCUCCAUUGAAGCACCUUCUGAGGUAUGAUUCUUUUUUUUUUUUUUAAUCAUCGAACAUCUAAUUCUCACUCUAAGGUUUAUUGCUCAUUCGCUCAUGCUACUGGUAGCACUGAUAUGAAUAGCCAAUCAAGGUAUCCUCUACUCUUGAAACCCCAAUUUUUUUUUUUUUGUGUAAAACAGUGAUCUAAAGAAUUAUUUACAACGGUAGUUUUCUAUUAAAUUACUAGGAUUAUUUUGGGUUGUUGUUUUAGAGUUGCGAUUAACUUUUCAAUUGUGCAACUCUCAGUUUAUGAUGAGUUUGUAAGAAUACUUGCACUCAAUAUUGAAAUUAUAUUCAUUACCUUUGAUAUUCUUAGCUUUUAUAUUGCCCAUUUAUUCAUAUAUUAUUAUUAUUAUUAUUAUUAUUAUUAUUAUUAUUAUUAUUAUUAUUAUUAUUAUUUGAUAUAGCUAAGAAUUUUGCAAAAAUUAUUUGAAAAUAUGAGUGUGUGACUUUAAUCACCCAUCACCAAUGGGGCAACAAUGAUUAUCAAAUUCGGAUGUAUCCCCAAGAUUUAUCAUUGUUUUUACUCUAAAGAUGCUUGCAAACUUUCAGGGGUUAUAUGAUUUCUUAAUAAAAUAAAAAUAAUAUAUGAUUGUGUCAAUAAAUUUGAUGUUCUGGACAAUAUUGCUUCUCUGCAAUUUCUCUUUUUUUGUAUUAGCCUCAUAAAAUUUGGGCCUUUUCUUUGGGGGGGAAAGUAUUGAUUUUUAUUGUAUGCUGAAUUGGUAUAGUCAAUGGCGAUGAGGUUUUUUUUAUAUAUAUUGGCUUUCUAUUUAUGGACAAAAAUAUUCUUUUGUCUUCCAAGAAAAGGGCAGAGGUGAAUUCCUAGGAUUAAAAAAAAACUGUUUUGAUUGUGGUAUAUGUAAGAUGAUGAAUUAAAUACAUGCAUUCUAUAGCUAUCAGCUAUGAGCUUUCGGAUUAGUCACAUGGACGGCCGCACCAUCAUUCAAAAUCUUCAUUCAAUCUUUGUAGCUACCUGCACUCAGCAAUAUCUAUGUGUGUGUGUGUUUUUUUUCUUUUUUUUGGGGUGAGAUUUGCAUGCUUUCUCAUGCCAUUUCCAUUCACUAUGGCAUUUAUCCAAGGGUGAGAGUGCAAGUGUUGGGCGGAAUUGGGGAUAAGAGGAAAGUGAAUAAGACUAUAUUUAUAGAAGGCAGUCUGUUCUUUAUUCUGCGUGUUUAUGUUUAUUGUGUUGCCUAUUUUUUCAUAAUACUAGGAUUCACUUGGGGGAGAUAGCAAAACUGUUAUGAUUGGUAUGUUGGUUUCCUUAGUCCUUACUGCAAUUUCAUCCAUUAAACCACUUAUCAUAUGCCAUCUUCAUUCUAGCUUUUGUGUUAGCCCUGCUGACACAAAUGUUAAAGAGACUCUAAAUACCCUGAAGUAUGUAAACAGUGCAUGUGACAUUCAAAACAAGGCUCUUAUAAGGUCUUGUUCUAUUAUUGCCCUUAAUUAUUUUGAAUAUAUUGGGCUUUCUUUUCAUCAGCUUCUGUUUUACAGAUAAAUUGUAAUCCCUUUGCAGCUCAGAUGCAAAAAAUGCAUAGUCAAAUUGAGCAGCUUCAGACAGCUUCUUAAUUAUCGUGGUGACUCGGGUAUAUCUUUUAAUCAGCUAAGAUUUUGAAGCAUAAGAUAUCAUUGCUUAAAGCAAUCUGAGCUGCAACGUGAACUUCAAGUCGAAAUAGACAAACUUUUUAUGAUGCUUGAAGCAGGUAGGCGUGGAAAUCGUGGGUGAAAUUAGGCAUGGUCAUGGUGCAGAUGGUGGGAGGAUGCUGUUGAAUAUGACUGGUUCAAUUGAAAUGAUAGGAUUCUUCUACACGAUGGUGGCACAACAGGUAUUAUAGGAGGAGGAUCAGGUGGUACCAUGUAUAUAUAAAGGCUUAUAAAAUGGACCGAUUUAUGAAGCAAUGGUGUAUGUCUGUCCUGAAUUUCCUCACCCGUGGCUUACUUUCAAGUGCUUGUUUCGGAGACCAAAAAAUUUGGAGCCAUUUUUCUCUCUGAGGUUGCAUGAAUUUGUCAUUGCCAUGAGAUCAGCCCCCUCAAGAAAGAGGUUAUGAAGUCUUGCCAGUAAUUGAAGCAUAUAUGAAUCCAAAGUGUCAUUUAGCAGCUCCGAUUCUGUGUAUAGGCCUUUGAUGGUUUGAUCAUAUUCAGGACGACUAUUUUCAAGCCAACUAUGCUUCAUCUCCGCUUGUGAUGUCAAAUGGGUUUAUCCUUGUAGGUGAUGGAUGAUGCGGGCCAUGAUAAAGGAAGCAUUUUAAAUAUUAGAAGCUGUUGAUAGAACAAUAAUGCAGUUAACUAAGCUCCUUUGGCAAGCUGAAUUAACAGGAAAGUUUGAAUAUUACCUCUGUGUGACGGGCCACCAUUCUACACCAGUAGAAUAAGAGGACCACAGCUUUGAACCUCUUCCUUUUGCACUAUGUCAGAUUACAGACUUCGUGGGUGCAAUAGGCGACGAAUCAAUCCUGAUGGAAACUUCCCUCGAACCUUUUCCUCUUCCAACUGUGAAAGCUGGGGAAGAUCUAGCGGAAGAGUGCAUAUGUGAUGAUGAAAAAAGAGCCUCAGCAAAGGCUUUCUGUGGUGAUUCAGUUUCUGAAUUGAGCGAGAUUGCAGCUGCAAGGGGUUGUCUGUUAUGGAUUACCCUCACUCACACUAGCUCAAUGUAAACAGUGGACAAUAAGAGAGAAGGACUGCUUCUUUGAUUAAUACAACAAAAGGGUUACAAAAGAUAGUAGCUUGAGGCUACAAGUCUCCAAGGAAACUUGGUUGCUACUCUCUAUUUAUUCACUCAAUUCCUGGAUAAUCCUCUCAAAAACUCUCUUCCUAAUAUAUUACAAGUUGACUGCCAGUAAUUACAAAAGUGGCUGUCCAAAAGCAUACAACUCUUGUUUCCUAGUAUAAAGUAUGAAAAGACUACAUUCCCCAAGGUUUCUUCUCUUCUCCCUAAAUUUCCCAAUUAGCUUCUUCCUCCUUCUUCUUCUCCUUCUUCUUCUCCUUCUUCUUCUCCUUCUUCUCCUUCUUCUUCUUCUUCUCCUUCUU